Molecule: long non-coding RNA, 1012 nt
Filed under: Homo sapiens (human)
Lineage: Eukaryota; Metazoa; Chordata; Mammalia; Primates; Hominidae
Description: non-protein coding lnc-GNAI1-8:1
Source: RNAcentral
CAGUCUCCUAAAGAGCCUGAAAACCUGUAGAAGCUCUUCAUUGGGUUGGGGGAGUUGAGCUUUGAAACAACCCAUGAGAAUCUGAGGAUCCAUUUUGAGCAAUGGGGAAUGCUCAUGGGUUGUGUGGUAACAAGAAAUCCAAACACCAAACCCUCCAGGGGCUUUGGGUUUGUCACAAAUGCCACUGUAGAGGAGGUGGAUGCAGCCCUGAAUUAAAAGCCACGAAAGGUGGAGGGAAGAGUUGUGGAAGCAAAGAGGGCCAACUCAAGAGAAGAUUCUCAAAACCAGGUACCCACCCAACUGUGAAAAAGAUAUUUGUAGGCGCCAUUAAAGAACACACAGAAGAACAUUACCUAAGAGACUAUUUGGAACAGUGUGGGAAAAUCAAACUGAUUAAAAUCAUUACUGACAGAGGCAGUGGUAAGAAAAGGGGCUUUGGUUUUGUAAACACUGACUAUGGUGAUUCUGUGGAUAAGACUGUCAUUCAGAAAUAUACCAUACUGUGAAUGGCUACAACUGUGAAGUAAGGAAAGCCCUGCCAAAACAAGAGAUGGCUAGUGCUUCAUCUAGCCAGAGGUUGGCAUGGUUCUGGAAACUUUGGUGGUGGUUGUCAAAGUGGUUUCAGUGGGAAUGACAACUUUGGUCAUGGAGGAAACCUCAGGGGUCAUGGUGUCUUUGAUGGGGAUAGCUAUAAUGGAUUUGAUAACGAUGGUAGUUAUGUUGGAGGCAGUCCUAGUUACUCCAGAGGAAGCAGACGCUAUGGAAGUGGUGGACAGGGUUAUAGAAACCAGGGCAGUGGCUAUGGUGGGAGUGGCAGCUAUAACAGCUGUAUCAGUGGAGGAGGUGGAAGUGACUCUGGUGGUGGUAGUGAAAGCAAUUUUGGAGGUAGUGGAACUAUGAUAAUUUUGGAAAUUACAACAAUCAAUCUUUAAAUUUUGGAGCCAUGAAGGGAGGAAACUUUGGAGGCAGAAGCUCUGGCCCCUAUGAUGGCCAAGGCCAAUACUUUGCCAAG